GUUCUGUCUGACAUGAACUUUCUGUCUGAGGAUUUAAUAUUGGACGUCCUUGCUGCUGUUUAUUUAUUAUCUUUUAAGAGCGUUUAAGUCAACGGGACAAAUGGCAAAUCAGCCUAAUUAUUCGAACCACUGUGACGGUUAAACAGAUGUUUCAAAUUUAUAAAGAAGAGCCAAAUGGUGCCUAAAGGAUCGUACCAGCCGUAAUGUUUGAGCCCACAAUAAACUGUUAGCGUACAUGUUGCCGAGUCCCAGUUGGUUCAGCUCGGUGUGGAAUUAAAGUCACGUUGUUGUCGUUCUUUCGGCUGAACGGACAGUGUGUAUGUGUGGGGCCGCGGUGAUGUCACAGCCUUUUGUCAGUACUGCAAAUUUGUGAAAUUAAACUUGAAACUGUUCAGAACGGAUCGAAACCUUUGCAGCACCCCUGUUUCAGAACAUGAGUUCUA
Molecule: long non-coding RNA, 443 nt
Organism: Thalassophryne amazonica
Lineage: Eukaryota; Metazoa; Chordata; Actinopteri; Batrachoidiformes; Batrachoididae
Exons: 3
Source: RefSeq, a predicted model, not a curated record